This 72-nucleotide transfer RNA is filed under the name Heterocephalus glaber (naked mole-rat). It matches the Rfam family "tRNA". From Rfam's summary of the family: Transfer RNA (tRNA) molecules are approximately 80 nucleotides in length. Their secondary structure includes four short double-helical elements and three loops (D, anti-codon, and T loops). The record is from Rfam by way of RNAcentral. Lineage: Eukaryota; Metazoa; Chordata; Mammalia; Rodentia; Bathyergidae.
GGGGGUAUAGCUCAGUGGUAGAGCACUUGCCUAGCCUGCCUGAGGCCCUGGGUUAAAUUCUCAGGACCAUCA